Long non-coding RNA from Aedes albopictus (Asian tiger mosquito), 417 nucleotides. RefSeq lists it as uncharacterized. NCBI's taxonomy places the organism in Eukaryota, Metazoa, Arthropoda, Insecta, Diptera, Culicidae. The transcript is spliced from 3 exons. The record is from RefSeq and is a predicted model, not a curated record.
GAACUCACUUUUGAGCAGCAUCAUUCAAAUUCAUCUUUGGUAACGGUCAGCAGUUUGCCGUAGAAAUAAAAUUUGCGGAUUACUUUUUUUUAAAGAAAUUGUUGACAUCUUUUAAGCGAUAACUACUCCUCCAUUACAAGGUUGUUAUCGAUGUCGAACGGCGGUUCCAAGUUGACGGACAAGAUGCCACUUAUUUUUUCCUGCUAAGUGAUAAUUAUGGCAACAACAAUUAAUUCCGGAACCUUCACCGCAGCCAGCAUGAGGCCGACAAGCCCGAAAACCGAGAACCACUACAUACCAUCCCCAUCAUCCUAGAUCACCACAAUGGAAUGUGUCUUUGCCGAUUUGGAAUUAGUGUAACGAAUCAUUAUUUGUAUAAUUACUUUUAAAUAUAUAAAUAAACAUGUUCUUUCAUUA